AACGAACGCUGGCGGCAUGCCUAACACAUGCAAGUCGAACGAGACCUUCGGGUCUAGUGGCGCACGGGUGCGUAACGCGUGGGAACCUGCCCUUAGGUUCGGAAUAACUCCCCGAAAGGGGUGCUAAUACCGGAUAAUGUCUUCGGACCAAAGAUUUAUCGCCUUUGGUUGGGCCCGGGUUGGAUUAGCUAGUUGGUAGGGUAAAAGCCUACCAAGGCGACGAUCCAUAGCUGGUCUGAGGGGAUGAUCAGCCAAACUGGGAAUGAGAAACGGCCCAGACUCCGACGGGGGGGAGCAGUGGGGAAGAUGGGAAAAUGGGCGAAAGCCUGACCCAGCAAGGCCGGGGGAGUGAUGAAGGCUUUGGGGUGGUAAAGCUCUUUUCCCCGGGAUGAUAAUGAAAGUACCGGGAGAAAAAGCUCCGGCUAACUCCGU
RNAcentral lists this ribosomal RNA (432 nucleotides) under uncultured bacterium. RNAcentral's name for it is "partial 16S ribosomal RNA". It matches the Rfam family "Bacterial small subunit ribosomal RNA", at positions 29 to 506 of the family's 1533-position model. The record is from RNAcentral.